UACGUAGGUGUCGAGCGUUGUCCGGAUUUAUUGGGCGUAAAGCGCCCGCAGGCGGCUUGGCAAGUUCGAGGUGAAAUCUCCCGGCUCAACUGGGAGGGUGCCUCGGAAACUGCCAGGCUUGAGGCAGGGAGAGGGAUGUGGAAUUCCCGGUGUAGUGGUGAAAUGCGUAGAUAUCAAGUGGAACACCAGUGGCGAAGGCGAGUCCCUGGACAAUUCCUGACACUGAGGCACGAAAGCUAGGGGAGCAAACAGG
This 253-nucleotide ribosomal RNA is filed under the name uncultured bacterium. RNAcentral describes it as "partial 16S ribosomal RNA". It matches the Rfam family "Bacterial small subunit ribosomal RNA", at positions 524 to 776 of the family's 1533-position model. The record is from RNAcentral.